GUACACGAGCGGUGCAAAGGGUGCACGAAACUUUAUCCUGACCUCCCCUGGCCUCUCAAGUCCUUCACUGCGUACUCCCUAAUGCAGAAGAGAAGUGAAAAGGCACAAAAUGUUCCCACAGAGCAAGCUGGAGAGUUGGUUCAUGGCCCUCUCAAACACCGUAACAAGAAAAAUGUAGGUAGGUUUUACUCUGGGAGGAAGAAGCAGUGACUAAGCAUGCAGAAAAGAGGCUUCUAUGGAAUGGGAGCCUGAGGUGCUGAUAAGAAGUGAAAGGGAGAAAGCAUUCACAUGAUCAUGGCAGAGGAAUUACAUUUUUUCUGUGUGGCUGGGAUUCCCUCCAUGGUGCGUCUAUCUGUGCUGGUAAUACUCAUCAAAUGCAGAAGUUGCCAUGAUGGGAUUUCAAGGAAAAAACUGACCUAUCCUGAAAUCAAACAACGUUAAAAGGAAAGUGAGCAGAGAGGUACAUAACACUACCUUGCGUGCUGUGAGAGAAAAGGACGGAAAGGGAGAACUUAGCACAGAGCUGCAGCCUUUCAGAAUACAAACGCUAGCUGAAAUACAUGAGCUAAGCGAGUCUGGAACCAGCCUGACUGUGAAAGCCAUCACACAUCUGAGGAAACAAACGGCAAAACACAUCUGUUUGGGUCCUGCCACCUGCAGCCAGAGUAAUGUGCAGUUUUCAUUUGACUGAAGGAGAGAAACAAGUCCGUUAUCUGCUAAAUCUGCAAACAGAGCUGCAUUAUCGAUUACAGCUUUAUUUAAAAGUAAGUACAAACUGUCCUUUAGGUCAAAGUCAAAACAAGCAGUAAGAAUUCAGUAGUGUCCCUGAUUUCCUUCUGAAAUCUUACUAUGAGAGCAUCUGGGAAACCAGCAGGCAAACCCAUCUCAUUGGCACUGAAGAUGCCAUCAUGGAGCCCUUAUGAAGGCACAGACAGAUCAUGGCAAGCAUGUACCUCCUCAAGCUGUGCCCUCCAGGAUUCUGCAAAGAUGGAUUUGAGGCAGUAAGACAGCCAGUGCUGUCUCUGACAGAGUCUGUCUCUGUGACCUUGUGUUUGUCGAUUCGACAGCAGUUCAGGACUCCCAACCCUCCAUUCAACUGCCUCAGCACAGUGGCUGGGAUUGAAGCUCAGUGCUGACAACGUGUGCAGUGACGGUGAAACCUCAGGAAGUCUGAAUUUUCUGCUGAGCAAGCAGAUGUUGUUUUCCAUCUGAGUUACAGACAACAUGUGACAAAAGUAUCACGUCUUCUAAUCAACAUUAAUUUAAAAAAUCAAAUACAGUCUCUUUGGUGUGAGUGCACAGAAGUACUGAGCAAGCUUCUAAGAGUGUGACCUCCUCUCAAAUAUAAUAGAAAACAAGAAAAUCAUGCUAGUCACCUUCCUUGCACUUGCCUGUGUCAGAGAUUAAAAAAUUAUAAGAUUUUUUUUAAAGUACCCACAUAAAUAUGCUACUUAAGUACAGGUGAACUGUUUUAGGUGGCAGCACAAUUAUCCCAACUUCACCAGAAGGUGCUUAGACAAAUGGUCAUAUCUGUCUGUAACCCUGAUAUUUGUGUUUCUGUAUCCAGCAGCAAAUGACCUAAAGUCUUGACCUGAAAAUUCCCCAGACUCAUUAAACUCUUCAUCAGCUGUGUGAGACACUACAUUCUGAGUAUGCACAUGUGGCAGAUAAAGCGGGAAACACGGGGAAGGGAGAGCAGCAACAAAGCAGAGUUGAGCAGGCACCGCACUUCAGAUGCAGUGCUUCACCUCCACUGAGAGUCUGGCUUACUGGGAAUUAAUUUUAUGCAAUUUUACUGCUAGAUAUUAGAGGAAAGUAGAUGGCAUAUAAUCAUUUGGUGAAUCAUUCAUUCAAAAAGAUCUUGUACCUAAUCAGAUUCUCCGCUCUUCAGCUCUUCAUCUGCUGACCUAAGCAGUAAAUAACAUUUAAGGAAAGAUAAGUAGGCAUGUUGGUGCUAUGAAUCAAAUGAUUUUAAGAACCUAUUCAAAAACUGUAUGCUCAGAGUAGGUGUAUUUCAAGGUAUAUUCAUGCAUGCUGUUGAAAGGUGUAAUUGGUGCUUAAGAUACCCUCACAGAAUUAAGACUCAGAAUUUGUGGAGGUCUUUGUCUAAAAUAACAGCAAAGAUAAAUAUACAGAGCCAGUAUUUGUUCUGACAAGGAGGAUGGGCAUAAAUACUUCUUCACAGAUAGUAAGGCAGGCAGUUGUAAAUCAGAUUCUUACUGCAGAGGAGAAAUACUGGCAAGAUAUUAGAAGAGUAUAUGGUGCUAGAAGUAAUAUGAACAACUUCACAAAUUUCCACUCAUUUAAAUCCCUCAUGGUACUGAGUGAAUUUUGCCAAAACCUCCUUAGCAGAGAAAAACCUAAGUUGAUAAAUAUUUUUUGAAAUCUUUGGCUUUAUUUCCUUUCUGUUUUGAAACCUAGCUUCUAUAAAUCUAAACUUUAUCAUAAAAUGCAUUUUUUUACUCAGCUCAAAGGGCUGGCAUAUAUUUUAUCCAGGACCAGUGGUGCCACACUGUUUUUUAGCAAUUUACCCACUGAAGCUUAGUAUGGGGAUCCUGACCUCGCUGUGACAUCCUAACACAACGAGCACUGUCUUGUCCUGCUACUUGAUGCUUGAUUGCUAAACAUACUUUCCUGUUUACCUGCUCUGUCACCAGCAUGCACAAUAUAGACAAACGUGCGCCACAAAUAGAGACAGCACAAUUACAAAAACGUUGUAUGGAGAGCCCAUACUCCAUCUCCAGCAGGUCAGUCUACAAUCUAAUUUUUUUUUUGCAAUUGAUUCUAAAAAAACAUCCACCUCACUCUCAUGCAUAGGUAAUUUGAGGCAAAUAGUGGACUUCUGACAUUUAAACUAGCAAUUCGUGGCUUUUCCCUGCAAUGAUGUUGUUUAUUUGCAUGACACUGGGGAUGUGCCAGAUGUUCUAAAAGGUCACAAAAAACAUCUCCCCUUCAGCUUUGUAAAUAGCAGCAAAUCCAUUUAAACUCUUUGUCAAAUCUCUUUCUCGAACCUGGUAUUGGGCUCCCAGCCCAAUCUUAUCUACGGCCUAUAGGUAUCUUGUAGUAGAGACAAUAAAUUAUACAAACUGAAGUACCUGGGAUUUCAUGGAUGCAUAACUACUAUGACACUGAGAUCUGAAAUAAGCUGCAGGCCUGCUGAGAAUUUACAGUCUCAUCAGAAAACAGAAAAAUAACAUCCAUGAGUUGGCCAAUAAACUGUACAUGACAG
Long non-coding RNA from Gallus gallus (chicken), 3229 nucleotides. Lineage: Eukaryota; Metazoa; Chordata; Aves; Galliformes; Phasianidae. The record is from Ensembl.